Molecule: ribosomal RNA, 468 nt
Filed under: uncultured bacterium
Lineage: Bacteria
Description: partial 16S ribosomal RNA
Rfam family: Bacterial small subunit ribosomal RNA
Source: RNAcentral
GACGUACGCUGGCGGCGUGCUUAACACAUGCAAGUCGAACGGAAAGGCCCUGCUUUUGUGGGGUGCUCGAGUGGCGAACGGGUGAGUAACACGUGAGUAACCUGCCCUUGACUUUGGGAUAACUUCGGGAAACUGGGGCUAAUACCGGAUAGGAGCUCCUGCUGCAUGGUGGGGGUUGGAAAGUUUCGGCGGUUGGGGAUGGACUCGCGGCUUAUCAGCUUGUUGGUGGGGUAGUGGCUUACCAAGGCUUUGACGGGUAGCCGGCCUGAGAGGGUGACCGGCCACGUUGGGACUGAGAUGCGGCCCAGACUCCUACGGGAGGCAGCAGUGGGGAAUGGUGCACAAUGGGCGGAAGCCUGAUGCAGCAACGCCGCGUGCGGGAUGACGGGCUUCGGGUUGUAAACCGCUUUCGCCUGUGACGAAGCGUGAGUGACGGUAAUGGGUAAAGAAGCACCGGCUAACUACGUG